CCUACGGGUGGCAGCAGUGGGGGAUAUUGCACAAUGGGGGAAACCCUGAUGCAGCGACGCCGCGUGUGGGAAGACGGUCCUCUGGAUUGUAAACCACUGUCCCCAGGGACGAAGAUGACGGUACCUGGGGAGGAAGCUCCGGCUAACUACGUGCCAGCAGCCGCGGUAAUAAGUAGGGAGCGAGCGGUGUCCGGAAUGACUGGGUGAAAAGGGAGCGUAGGCGGGACUGCAAGUUGGGUGUCAAAUCUACCGGCUCAACCGGUAGCCGCACUCAAAACUGCAGUUCUUGAGUGAAGUAGAGGCAGGCGGAAUGCCUAGUGUAGCGGUGAAAGGCGUAGAUAUUAGGAGGAACACCAGUGGCGAAGGCGGCCUGCUGGGCUUUUACUGACGCUGAGGCUCGAAAGUGUGGGGAGCAAACAGGAUUAGAUACCCCAGUAGUC
Molecule: ribosomal RNA, 440 nt
Filed under: uncultured bacterium
Lineage: Bacteria
Description: partial 16S ribosomal RNA
Rfam family: Bacterial small subunit ribosomal RNA
Source: RNAcentral